This 547-nucleotide ribosomal RNA is filed under the name Palaemon carteri. RNAcentral describes it as "bacterial SSU rRNA". It matches the Rfam family "Eukaryotic small subunit ribosomal RNA", at positions 408 to 917 of the family's 1831-position model. RNAcentral also lists the same sequence under 2 other names. The record is from RNAcentral. Lineage: Eukaryota; Metazoa; Arthropoda; Malacostraca; Decapoda; Palaemonidae.
UACCACAUCCAAGGAAGGCAGCAGGCACGCAAAUUACCCAAUGCCAGCUCUGGGAGGUAGUGACGAAAAAUAACAAUGCGGGACUCUUGCGAGUCUGCGUAAUUGGAAUGAGCACACUUUAAAUCCUUUAGCAACAACCAAUUGGAGGGCAAGUCUGGUGCCAGCAGCCGCGGUAAUUCCAGCUCCAAUAGCGUAUAUUAAAGUUGUUGCGGUUAAAAAGCUCGUAGUUCGAGUUGAGUUGCGGACUGAUGUGGGAGGUCACCGCCCGGUGCUUGCCCGUCAGGUUCCGGACAGCUUUCCCCUUGUUGGGAAGCGGAGUCGGUUCCGCCGGGGUGCUCUUUACCGAGUGUCCCGUGCGGCCGACCAGUUCACCUUGAAUAAAUGAGAGUGCUCAAAGCAGGCUGUUCUCUUGUUAGUAUGCCCGAAUGUUAUCUGCAUGGAAUGAUGGAAGAUGAUCUCGGUUCCAUUUUGUUGGUUUGAGGGAGCCAGAGAUAAUGAUAAAGAGGGACUGUCGGGGGCAUCCGUACUACGACGCGAGAGGUGAAAU